GUAGGUGGCAAGCGUUGUCCGGAAUUAUUGGGCGUAAAGCGCGCGCAGGCGGUCCUUUAAGUCUGAUGUGAAAGCCCACGGCUCAACCGUGGAGGGUCAUUGGAAACUGGGGGACUUGAGUGCAGAAGAGAAGAGUGGAAUUCCACGUGUAGCGGUGAAAUGCGUAGAGAUGUGGAGGAACACCAGUGGCGAAGGCGACUCUUUGGUCUGUAACUGACGCUGAGGCGCGAAAGCGUGGGGGAGCAAACAGGAUUAGAUACCCUGGUAGUCCACGCCGUAAACGAUGAGUGCUAAGUGUUAGGGGGUUUCCGCCCUUUAGUGCUGCAGCAAACGCAUUAAGCACUCCGCCUGGGAGUACGGCCGCAAGGCUG
This 371-nucleotide ribosomal RNA is filed under the name uncultured organism. Its description in RNAcentral is "partial 16S ribosomal RNA". It matches the Rfam family "Bacterial small subunit ribosomal RNA", at positions 527 to 896 of the family's 1533-position model. The record is from RNAcentral.